This 789-nucleotide ribosomal RNA is filed under the name Methanoculleus sp. enrichment culture clone HA1_37. Its description in RNAcentral is "bacterial SSU rRNA". It matches the Rfam family "Archaeal small subunit ribosomal RNA", at positions 85 to 879 of the family's 1478-position model. The record is from RNAcentral. Lineage: Archaea; Methanobacteriati; Methanobacteriota; Methanomicrobia; Methanomicrobiales; Methanomicrobiaceae.
ACGGCUCAGUAACACGUGGAUAACCUGCCCUAAGGAAGGGGAUAACCUCGGGAAACUGAGGAUAAUACCCUAUAGGUUACAGACGCUGGAAUGCCCUGUAACCGAAAGUUCCGGCGCCUUAGGAUGGAUCUGCGGCCGAUUAGGUUGUUGUUGGGGUAACGGCCCAACAAGCCGAUAAUCGGUACGGGUUGUGGGAGCAAGAGCCCGGAGUUGGAUUCUGAGACAUGAAUCCAGGCCCUACGGGGCGCAGCAGGCGCGAAAACUUUACAAUGCGGGAAACCGUGAUAAGGGAACCCCGAGUGCCUGUAUAUGCAGGCUGUCCAGGUGUCUAAAAAACACCUGAAGAAAGGGCCGGGCAAGACCGGUGCCAGCCGCCGCGGUAAUACCGGCGGCUCGAGUGGUGGCCACUUUUAUUGGGCUUAAAGCGUUCGUAGCUGGGUUGUUAAGUCUCUUGGGAAAUCUGACGGCUCAACCGUCAGGCGUCCAAGGGAUACUGGCAAUCUUGGAACCGGGAGAGGUGAGGGGUACUUCGGGGGUAGGAGUGAAAUCCUGUAAUCCUCGAGGGACCACCUGUGGCGAAGGCGCCUCACCAGGACGGCUUCGACAGUGAGGGACGAAAGCUGGGGGAGCAAACCGGAUUAGAUACCCGGGUAGUCCCAGCCGUAAACGAUGCGCGUUAGGUGUAUCGGUGACCACGAGUCACCGAGGUGCCGAAGGGAAACCGUGAAACGUGCCGCCUGGGAAGUACGGUCGCAAGGCUGAAACUUAAAGGAAUUGGCGGGGGAGCAC